CUCCUGGUGGCGGCGGCGGCCAGGAGCAGGGCCCUGGGAUCAACCAAUGGCGCAGCUGCAAGUGGUUAGACGCCAAUCUCAGGGCUGAGUCGCUGCGCACGCCAGGCAGGCGGCCGGGCGGGCAGGUGGCCGAGCGCAAGCCUUACGCGUGCUUGGAUCUGGGCGCCGCGCUGCAGAGGGGGCUGGGGGCAGCAGCAUCCCGGGCGCUGGCUUCCUGGGCGCUUUCUGGCGGCCAGGCGCGUGGGAGGAAACAGCCCCCCAGGCCCGCAGACUUCAAGCUGCAGGUCAUCAUCCUGGGCUCCCAAGGGGUGGGGAAGAGAAGCCUGACGGAGCGUUUCACCGACGACACCUUCUGCGAGGCCUGCAAGUCCACCACCUUUUGUAAGGAAGCUAUAGCGUGUCUUACUUAGAGGACUUGACAUUGAAGUUUGUCAUGUGGUGUGGACAAACGUUGUUUCUAUGGAAAACCCCUUAAAAGCUGCCAAAGGCAGGGGAACUCUGUGAAUGGGAUGUCUCUUCAGAAUAAAGAGCAAUGGUCGGCAGGAGGGAUGUGGGGGGUGUCCAAGAAACAUUGAAUAGUAUGGAGAUUUGAUAUGCAGAAUUAAAAGUAUCAUUCCACAUACUGAUACAUAUAUUUAAUGAGUUGUAAGUAGAGGUAGUUCCCGUUUUGAGAUGAAUUG
RNAcentral lists this long non-coding RNA (680 nucleotides) under Marmota monax (woodchuck). The record is from RNAcentral. Lineage: Eukaryota; Metazoa; Chordata; Mammalia; Rodentia; Sciuridae.